AGAGAGAGAGAUGCUGUUAUUUAUGCAUUCAUUGGUCACUGAUUGAUUCUUGCAUGUCCCCUGAUUAGGGAUCGAACCUGCCACCUGGGCGCAUCAGGAUGACGCUCCAACCAACUGCGCCUCCGGCCAGGCCAGGGCGUGUUUUCCAGGCCUCGUCUCCGUCAGCCCGCCUGACCUCGGGGGUGCCGGGAGCACCUCGCCAGGCAUGUCCCUGAUGCCCCCAGGAGCAAGGCCCUGCGCCCACCCGCUGGCUGGGGCUCCCCCAGGCAGGACGGACCUGCAGGGACAGUGUGGCCACAGAAGCUGCCGCCAAGUGCGGCGUCUGAUUGCCUGCUUAUGCUUUCCCGCUCUCCCCGCUCCACUGCGUCCUCCUCCUCACAGUUCACUGCGUGUGUCGGAAAGACGUGGCUUUCUAAUCUGCCCUUCCUUCUCCCAGACGCGCUGCUCCAGUGCCCAGAACUAUACAUUUAAAAUAUAUAUAUUUAUUUUAUUAUUGAUUUCAGAGAGGAAAGGAGAGGGAGAGA
Long non-coding RNA from Myotis brandtii (Brandt's bat), 524 nucleotides. RefSeq lists it as uncharacterized. Lineage: Eukaryota; Metazoa; Chordata; Mammalia; Chiroptera; Vespertilionidae. The record is from RefSeq and is a predicted model, not a curated record. The transcript has 3 exons.